This 480-nucleotide ribosomal RNA is filed under the name uncultured bacterium. RNAcentral's name for it is "bacterial SSU rRNA". It matches the Rfam family "Bacterial small subunit ribosomal RNA", at positions 28 to 507 of the family's 1533-position model. The record is from RNAcentral.
GAUGAACGCUAGCGGCAGGCCUAACACAUGCAAGUCGAGGGGUAGAAGGAGCUUGCUCCUUUGAGACCGGCGCACGGGUGCGUAACGCGUAUGCAAUCUACCUUGUACAGGGGAAUAGCCCAGAGAAAUUUGGAUUAAUGCCCCAUAGUAUAUAACCUUCGCAUGUUGGUUAUAUUAAAGUUCCAACGGUACAAGAUGAGCAUGCGUCCCAUUAGUUAGUUGGUAAGGUAACGGCUUACCAAGACGAUGAUGGGUAGGGGUCCUGAGAGGGAGAUCCCCCACACUGGUACUGAGACACGGACCAGACUCCUACGGGAGGCAGCAGUGGGGAAUAUUGGUCAAUGGUCGCAAGACUGAACCAGCCAUGCCGCGUGCAGGAAGACGGUCCUAUGGAUUGUAAACUGCUUUUAUACAGGAAGAAACCCUCCCACGUGUGGGAGCUUGACGGUACUGUAGGAAUAAGGAUCGGCUAACUCCGUG